GGAGAGAUGGCCGAGUGGACUAAGGCGUCCCGCUCGAAACGGGAUAUCCCGACAAAAUCGGGAUCGGGGGUUCGAAUCCCUCUCUCUCCG
RNAcentral lists this transfer RNA (90 nucleotides) under Caldifarciminota bacterium. Its description in RNAcentral is "candidate division WOR-3 bacterium (hot springs metagenome) tRNA-Ser". It matches the Rfam family "tRNA". Rfam says of the family: Transfer RNA (tRNA) molecules are approximately 80 nucleotides in length. The record is from RNAcentral. Lineage: Bacteria; Pseudomonadati; Caldifarciminota.